UGGGGAAUAUUGCACAAUGGAGGGAACUCUUAUGCAGCGACGCCGCGUGAACGAAGAAGGCUUUCGAGUCGUAAAGUUCUUUUAUAUGGGAAGAUAAUGACGGUACCAUAAGAAAAAGCCCCGGCUAACUACGUGCCAGCAGCCGCGGUAAUACGUAGGGGGCUAGCGUUGUCCGGAAUCACUGGGCGUAAAGGGUUCGCAGGCGGAAAUGCAAGUCAGGUGUAAAAGGCAGUAGCUUAACUACUGUAAGCAUUUGAAACUGCAUAUCUUGAGAAGAGUAGAGGUAAGUGGAAUUUUUAGUGUAGCGGUGAAAUGCGUAGAUAUUAAAAAGAAUACCGGUGGCGAAGGCGACUUACUGGGCUCAUUCUGACGCUGAGGAACGAAAGCGUGGGUAGCAAACAGG
Molecule: ribosomal RNA, 403 nt
Filed under: bacterium
Lineage: Bacteria
Also listed under: 1 other name
Description: partial 16S ribosomal RNA
Rfam family: Bacterial small subunit ribosomal RNA
Source: RNAcentral